RNAcentral lists this ribosomal RNA (446 nucleotides) under uncultured bacterium. RNAcentral describes it as "bacterial SSU rRNA". It matches the Rfam family "Bacterial small subunit ribosomal RNA", at positions 29 to 507 of the family's 1533-position model. The record is from RNAcentral.
AACGAACGCUGGCGGCAGGCCUAACACAUGCAAGUCGAACGUGAAGCCAGAGCUUGCUCUGGUGGAAAGUGGCAGACGGGUGAGUAACGCGUGGGAAAUUACCCAGUAGUACGGAACAACAGUUGGAAACGACUGCUAAUACCGUAUACGCCCUCCGGGGGAAAGAUUUAUCGCUAUUGGAGAUGCCCGCGUCGGAUUAGCUUGUUGGUGAGGUAACGGCUCACCAAGGCGACGAUCCGUAGCUGGUCUGAGAGGAUGAUCAGCCACACUGGGACUGAGACACGGCCCAGACCCCUACGGGAGGCAGCAGUGGGGAAUAUUGCACAAUGGGCGCAAGCCUGAUGCAGCCAUGCCGCGUGAGUGAUGAAGGCCUUAGGGUUGUAAAACUACUUUCACCGGUGAAGAUAAUGACGGUAACCGGAGAAGAAGCCCCGGCUAACUUCGUG